Molecule: ribosomal RNA, 323 nt
Filed under: uncultured eukaryote
Lineage: Eukaryota
Description: partial 18S ribosomal RNA
Rfam family: Eukaryotic small subunit ribosomal RNA
Source: RNAcentral
CCAAUAGCAUAUAUUAAAGUUGUUGCAGUUAAAAAGCUCGUAGUUGGAUUUCUGGGUUUGCUUUCUGAUCCUGAAUGGUAAUUUAAGCGGCCCAUCAGCCUGGCAACAGGCCAUUACUGUGAGAAAAUUAGAGUGUUUCAAGCAGGUUAUGCAGGAAUACAUUAGCAUGGAAUAAUAUCAAACAGCUAGAAUGUUGGUCAAGUUCUAGAGUGUGAUUAAUAGGGAUAGUUGGGGGCAUUAGUACUUAAUUGUCAGAGGUGAAAUUCUUGGAUUUUUUAAAGACUAACUUAUGCGAAAGCAUUUGCCAAGGAUGUUUUCAUUAA